Molecule: transfer RNA, 76 nt
Filed under: Myxococcota bacterium
Lineage: Bacteria; Pseudomonadati; Myxococcota
Description: tRNA-Thr
Rfam family: tRNA
About the family: Transfer RNA (tRNA) molecules are approximately 80 nucleotides in length.
Source: RNAcentral
GCCAACUUAGCUCAGUCGGUAGAGCAGCUCACUCGUAACGAGCAGGUCAUCUGUUCGAUUCCGAUAGUUGGCUCCA